AGCAGCCGCGGUAAUUCCAGCUCCAAUAGCGUAUAUUAAAGUUGUUGCAGUUAAAAAGCUCGUAGUUGAAUUUCGGGGUUAGUAGGUUGGUCAUGCCUCUGGUAUGUACUGGUCUCACUGAUUCCUCCUUCCUUAUGAACCGUAAUGCCAUUAAUUUGGUGUUGCGGGAAAUUUGGACUGUUACUUUGAAAAAAUUAGAGUGUUUAAAGCAAGCUAACGCUUGAAUACAUUAGCAUGGAAUAAUGAAAUAGGACGUUCGAUCUUAUUUUGUUGGUUUCUAGGAUUGACGUAAUGAUUAAUAGGGAUAGUUGGGGGCAUUAGUAUUCAAUUGUCAGAGGUGAAAUUCUUGGAUUUAUUGAAGACUAACUACUGCGAAAGCAUUUGCCAAGGAUGUUUUCAUUAAUCAAGAACGAAAGUUAGGGAUCGAAGACGAUCAGAUACCGUCGUAGU
This 450-nucleotide ribosomal RNA is filed under the name uncultured Glomeromycotina. RNAcentral describes it as "SSU rRNA". It matches the Rfam family "Eukaryotic small subunit ribosomal RNA", at positions 569 to 1024 of the family's 1831-position model. Lineage: Eukaryota; Fungi; Glomeromycota. The record is from RNAcentral.